Molecule: ribosomal RNA, 254 nt
Filed under: uncultured bacterium
Lineage: Bacteria
Description: partial 16S ribosomal RNA
Rfam family: Bacterial small subunit ribosomal RNA
Source: RNAcentral
GACGUAGGGAGCGAGCGUUGUCCGGAUUCAUUGGGCGUAAAGAGCGCGCAGGCGGUUUGGUAAGUCGGAUGUGAAAACCCGGGGCUCAACCCCGGGCGUGCAUCUCGAUACUGCCCGACUAGAGGUAGGUAGGGGAGAUCGGAAUUCCUGGUGUAGCGGUGAAAUGCGCAGAUAUCAGGAGGAACACCGGUGGCGAAGGCGGCGUUCUGGACUGCAACUGACACUGAAAAACGAAAGCCAGGGGAGCAAACGGG